AUUUAUAUAGUUUAUAAAAACGUUACAUUUUCAAUGUAGAAAUAAAAGAAUUCUUUUUAUAAA
This 63-nucleotide transfer RNA is filed under the name Calopteryx splendens (banded demoiselle). RNAcentral's name for it is "tRNA-Glu". Lineage: Eukaryota; Metazoa; Arthropoda; Insecta; Odonata; Calopterygidae. The record is from RNAcentral.